This 403-nucleotide long non-coding RNA is filed under the name Rattus norvegicus (Norway rat). RNAcentral describes it as "long non-coding RNA NONRATT010255". Lineage: Eukaryota; Metazoa; Chordata; Mammalia; Rodentia; Muridae. The record is from RNAcentral.
UCGUUGAUCGCAUGAGCAAGAGUUGGGUACUUGUGCAAGGUCACAGUUACUCAGUAGGAAAGUCGUCAAUCUCCACGUCUGGGACUGUGGAUCUGGUUCAGUGAAGUGUUUCCACUGCGUGCGUGGGGCGCAAGGCCAAAGAAGACCAGAGAGACUUGACCAAGUGCUGACAUGGACCAGCCGUCCAGCGCAGUGAGAACCGUGAACAUUACUGUGACAAAUGGAUAUGACUUGGUACAUUGACUCUUGGAAACCCAGAGGGGGCAAGAUGGGAGUUUUUGUGUGAUUUUUUUUCUCCCUCUAAGCAGAGGUGCUGUGUGUUUGUAGUCUGUAUUCAGCAAGUCACCAUGUCACGUGUCUAAUACCUGGCCUUUUGAAUUAAAUUUGACAGGGUUUAAACAAA